RNAcentral lists this ribosomal RNA (497 nucleotides) under uncultured bacterium. Its description in RNAcentral is "partial 16S ribosomal RNA". It matches the Rfam family "Bacterial small subunit ribosomal RNA", at positions 28 to 507 of the family's 1533-position model. The record is from RNAcentral.
GAUGAACGCUGGCGGCGUGCCUAACACAUGCAAGUCGAGCGAACAGAUGAGGAGCUUGCUCCUCUGACGUUAUCGGCCGACGGGUGAGUAACAUGUGGAUAACCUACCUAUAAGACUGGGAUAACUUCGGCAAACCAUAUCUAAUACCGGAUAAUAUAUUGAAUCACAUGGUUCAAUAGUUAAAUACGCUUUUGCUUUCGCUUAUAGAUUGCUCCGAUCCGCAUUCACUAGUUGGUUAGGUAAAUGCUUACCAAUGCUACGAUGCGUAGCCGACCUGAUAGGGUAAUAGGCCACACGGGAUGUGAGAAAGGGGAAAGACUCCAAAAGUAGGCAGCAGUCGGGAAUCUUCCGGAAUGGGCGAAUGCGUGACGUAGCACCGUCGAGUGAGUGAUGAAGGUCUAAGGGUCGUAGAACUAUGUUAGUAGGGAAGAAAUAAAGUGUAAGUAACUGUGAAGGUCUUGACGGUACCUGAUCAAAAAGCCGCGGCUAACUCCGUG